Molecule: ribosomal RNA, 205 nt
Filed under: Vibrio parahaemolyticus
Lineage: Bacteria; Pseudomonadati; Pseudomonadota; Gammaproteobacteria; Vibrionales; Vibrionaceae
Description: partial 23S ribosomal RNA
Rfam family: Bacterial large subunit ribosomal RNA
Source: RNAcentral
UAAGGCUGAGACACGACGUCGAGCACCUACGGGUGUGAAGUCAUUGAUGCCAUGCUUCCAGGAAAAGCCUCUAAGCUUCAGAUUGUAAGGAAUCGUACCCCAAACCGACACAGGUGGUCGGGUAGAGAAUACCAAGGCGCUUGAGAGAACUCGGGUGAAGGAACUAGGCAAAAUGGUACCGUAACUUCGGGAGAAGGUACGCUCU